GGAGGAAUACCCAAGUCCGGCUGAAGGGAUCGGUCUUGAAAACCGACAGGCCUCAACGGCCGCGGGGGUUCGAAUCCCUCUUCCUCCGCCA
Molecule: transfer RNA, 91 nt
Filed under: Staphylococcus aureus
Lineage: Bacteria; Bacillati; Bacillota; Bacilli; Caryophanales; Staphylococcaceae
Description: tRNA-Ser
Rfam family: tRNA
About the family: Transfer RNA (tRNA) molecules are approximately 80 nucleotides in length.
Source: RNAcentral